AUGGCCAUAUCACAUUAAACACUGGUUCCUGUAUGAUUACCAAAGUUAAGCAAUGUCAAACCUAGUCAGUACCAAGAUGGGUGACCAUUUGAGAAUACCAGGUGCUGUAAG
Molecule: non-coding RNA, 111 nt
Organism: Acanthosepion pharaonis
Lineage: Eukaryota; Metazoa; Mollusca; Cephalopoda; Sepiida; Sepiidae
Source: the annotation of a GenBank genome assembly